This 407-nucleotide ribosomal RNA is filed under the name uncultured bacterium. Its description in RNAcentral is "partial 16S ribosomal RNA". It matches the Rfam family "Bacterial small subunit ribosomal RNA", at positions 30 to 526 of the family's 1533-position model. The record is from RNAcentral.
AUUGAACGCUAGCGGGAUGCCUUACACAUGCAAGUCGAACGGAGUGGCGAACGGGUGAGUAAUGUAUCGGAACGUGCCCAGUAGCGGGGGAUAACUAAGCGAAAGCGUAGCUAAUACCGCAUACUAUUGGAGCGGCCGAUAACGGAUUAGCUAGGUGGUGGGGUAACGGCUCACCAGGGCGACGAUCCGUAGCUGGUUUGAGAGGACGACCAGCCACACUGGUACCGAGACAAGGCCCAGAAGCCUACGGGAGGCAGCAGUGGGGAAUUGUGGUCAAUGGGGGAAACUCUGAUCCAGCCAGCCCGCGUGUGCGAUGAAGGCCUUCGGGUGUUAAAGCACUUUUGGCAGGAAAGCGGUACCUGCAGAAUGAGCACCGGCUAACUACGUGCCAGCGGCCGCGGUAAUAC